RNAcentral lists this unclassified non-coding RNA (19 nucleotides) under synthetic construct. The record is from RNAcentral.
GGCCUAAAAGGCUUUUUUA